UCAACUGGAUUCGUUUCACACUUCCACUCGAGGUGUCUGGUGAUGAGUGGGGGCAUCUGGAAGGCUUCAGGUGGCACGCUGGUUGUUCUUCGGGCGGGUACGUUCUCGCGACCUGUGGGAGGAGGUGCAGCCCGGACAGGUUCCAGACCCCGCGGGGGACUGCUUCCGGCGCUUUGGAGGACCCGCCUUUCUCGCCUCCCUCGGCGCCGCUCGCAGGGCCGCUGUCCCCACGCGUGCACCACGUGCUGUCCCCCUUCCGGGCGGAUCGGUGCCUGGGGUCCUAAAUCUUUCGGCCCGCACGUGCUUCCCUGGAAGUGGGAGUGGCGCCUGCGGCGUCGGCAGUGGACACGCACACUGGAAGUGAGGGGGUUUCCCGGAGCAGAACCUGGUACCGGGGGUAGCAAGGCUGCCGGCCUGGGUGGAUGGGAGGGACCCCCUUUCCCUCCACCUGGUCCGGGUGCAGUCAUGAUGCGUUUACGCGGGCUCCGCACAAGUAUUCGUUGGGUGAAUACAUUUGUAGGGUAGGACUGCAGAGACUACGAAUUCAAGUUUUUUGUCUUUUUGAGACAGAGUCUCGCUAUGCAAUUUCAGGCUGACCUUCAGCUCACUUUGUAGCCGAGGCUGGUCUCAAAUUUGCAACGUUUCUUCUGUCUCAGGCUCCCGAGUGCUGGAAUUACAGACGUGUGCCACCAUGCCCGGCUAACAGCGAAUUCUAGAACAUGAGCUAAUUUUAUUUUUAACAAACAGUGCAUUGGGACCCUUAAAGAAGCCAUCGGUAACCACUAGUAUUUUAGCAAAGGCUGUUUGGGCCAUAAAUUACCCUCCAGGCAGUGUUUCUUAAUUUAUCACUUGGGUCAAACCGGGAAUUAAGUUCCCUCCUUUGCCCCCAGCAAAAUUUACUAACUUGUAAAACUACAUCACGUUCUACAUUCCAAGCUGUCACACCACUAAAUGGGGGAGGAGAAGUCGUCAACUAGGGGAAAGUUACUUUAACUAAAGCCCAAAAUUUUCUUUCUUUUUUUUUUUUAAAGUAUAUUUAAAGUAUAUAAGUAUAUAUAUAUAUAUAUAUAUAUAUGUAUAUGAAAAUGCUCGGGUAACCCUGCCACAAACAAUAAAAUAUCUGUGGAUGUAGCACAGUACAAAGGCCCUACAUUCAACCCCCAGUACAAAAAAAUAAUAAAUAAAUUGAAGAUAUACGAUCUAGAGAUAUCAGUAAUGUAGUAAGGCUGUGGUCCUUGAAAGCUGCUCAUUAAAGAUGUGUGCAGAAGAUGUUCUUUAUGAAUUAAAGAAAAGGAAAACAAACUCAUGCUGUGCUCUGCCAGACAUCCCAGAAAGGAGCCAAAAAGAAGAGAUGGGCAUAGUGACAAUACCUGUAAUCUCAGCUGCUCAAGAGGCUUUCACAUAGAGAUCUCAGGUUUAAGGCCAGUUUGGGCAAUGUGGCAGGACCUUGGGGGCAGAUAGAGGGAUAAGCAUCAAACUUCUAAGGCUUUGGUUUUGCUGGGAAGGGGAGGUUUGUUGGUUGGGGUUUUAUUUUUUUGAGAGGAUCUUGCUGUGUAGUUCAGGCUGGUGUUAAACACUAUGUAGUCUAGGCUAGUGUGGAAUUUAUGGUGAUCCUCCUGUCUCAGCCUCCUGAGUACUGAGAUUAUAGGCAUGUACCACCAUGAUUUUGUUUAUAGUUAUCCCAAACAAAUUUUUUUCACACUUCCAUAGGAUGAGAAAGAGAACACAUGCUAGAUAGCAAAAUGGAAAAAUAUUUAGUACCUAGGACACCCCCAGUACCACAUUACUUUCUGAAGACAUUCCUAAGAAACUACAUAUACUUAAUAUACUUGGAGAAGGCGUAAAGGUAGGGUUCCCACAAGAGAUAACUUUGGAACCAGGCAUGGUGGCAGAGGCCUGAAAUCAUAGCAUUUCAGGAAGCUGAAGCAGGAGGAUCACGAAUUUGAAGUAGGCCUGGGAAUGCACAGGGGGUUCAAGGCCAGUCUGAACUACAUAGACCUUGUUCCUCUCCCCUCAGAAAAACACAGAAAGCAGUGACUUUAGAAAUACUUGGUAGAAAAGUGAGGAAUUGGGAAGUGGACAGAGGAGGACAGGGGCAUUCCAAGUGAAGGAAUAAUAGGAAGAGAAAAAAAAAAAGGUGAGUAGUUGAUUAGUUGAUGUUUACGUGGAGAAAGAACUUUGAAGUGACCAGACAGCAAGGAAUGUUGCUGGAGAUGCAGCGGUGGAAGCAAGCCCAGAAGCUCCGGAGAGGCAGGCCAGAGCCUUCAUUCACUGAGUGUCUACCUGCUUCGAGGUCAGGACUGAAAAUAAGAGAUGAUGAACUCCACAAGCGAGCGAGACUCGUCUGGUCUGCGGGACUCGGGGGUGAGCUCUGCAAGGGCCUCACAGGCACCCACCCCCAACUCCAACUCAGAUUUUGCAAAUGAGUAAGGAGCCAGGUAUAGGACUCAACUAAAGAUAAAACCUUUGCCAGGGGAAGAGUGAGACAAGGCCAAUUAGCAUGGACAUUUCCAAACCCUCACCCUGCCUGGCCACGUGGUCCCCAGCCCUGCCCACGCCUCCUUCCAGCUGUUGCCUGGCUCCCUCCCUUAGGACCACCUCUCUGGCAGGGACCUGUUCCUUCUCCUGGCAGCUGAAAAGGGGAAGAUGUUACCUAUUUUUAUUUAUUUAUAUUGAUUUCACUACUGAGUAUUGAACCCAGGGGCUUUGCACUGAGCUACAUCCCCAGCCGCCCUCCCUACCCUUUCUUUUUUUUGUAGUUUGAGACUCGGUCUCUGUAGUUCAGGCCACCUUGAGCUCACUUGGUAGCUCAGGCUGGUCUCAAACUCACAGUGAUCCUGCCUCGGUGUCCUGAGUACUGGGAUUACAGGCAUGUGUCACCAUGCCCAGUUUAAAUGCAAUUUUUUUUUUUUUUUUUUUUGUACCAGGGAUCAAACUCACAACCUUGCACUUGCCAGGCAGGCGUUUUAGCCACUUAAGCUACUGAACUAAAUCCCCAGCCAUUUUUUCCAAUUUUUGAGACAGAGUCUCACUAAGUUGCUAAAUUGCCCAGGCUGAGCCCAACUUGUGAUCCUCCUAUCUCAGCCUCCAGUGUUAGGACUGCAGGCAUAUACCACCAUGCCUGGUUCUACUGGUGUCUGUCUGUUUGUUUGUUUGUUUGUUUGAGACAGGGUCUUGCUGUGUAGCUCAGGCUGUUUUCAAACUCACUAUACUACUGGUGACUUUCUGUAGCAUUCAGACAGCAUUUUCCCCAGGACAGUGUUAUAAAUAGUGGGAGGAUUUAUAAUCCAGAACUCGUUCGUUCACAAGGGCCACAGUACAUGGCAAACUGAGCAAAAUUCACAAAAAUAUUUUGGAGGGCCGGGGGGGGGGGGUAUAGCUCAGUGGUAGCACACUUACAGAAAAUGUGAGGGCCUGGUCCAGUCCCCAGUCCAGAAGUGCUGGGCAGGGGGACACCUGUUCAUGCUGGGAAACUCCCCACCUUGUGUUUUGGGAUUGUGACCGACUGUGGAUUCAAAAGAAUCAGAAGCAGCUUGGUGCAGGAGAAAGGCUCUUAUGCUUAGGCUUGGGAGGAAGUGAAAAGCCUGCAGAGGACAGAAAUCCCAGGCUCACCUUUCAGGGCAGGGACUGACUGCUCCUGAAGUCCCCCCUAGAGAUGGAGUCCCACUGUGUGGAACUCUUCCUCCUCUGUCUCUGCAGCACAUAGCCUUCUUUUUUUCUUUGUCACAUGCAUCUCAUUAGUAGUUUUUUUCCCCCCCAGUGCUAGGGGUUAGACCUCAAGGCAUUACACUGAGCUACAUCCCCGGCCCUUUUUUAUUUUAAUGUCUUUUUUUGUUUUGUGAUACUGUACAUUAAACCCAGAAUCUCCUACUGAGUUAUAUCCCCAGCCUUUUUUGCUUUUAAAACUUUAUUUAAUUUUGUCUUUUUGAGACAGGGUUUCACUAUGCAGUUCACUCUUGGUGGCCGUCCUGCCCCACCCUCCUGAUUGAAGGAACUGUGGCAUGUGCCACCAUACCUGGCCUUUGAUUUCUGUUUUUGAGACAGGACUCUAAAUUUCCUGUGCUGGGUUUGAAUUUGAGAUUGUCCUGCUUUACCCUCACCAAAUCCUGCGGUUACACGGCCACUAUGCCCAACUCAUUACCAUUUUGAGUCUCGACCAGGUCAGUGUGAUUUUUACACAAAUAAAGUUAAAAAAAAAAAAAAAAAGUAAGCCAGCUAUGGAAUUACUGGCCUCUAAGGCCAGUACAUGGGAAAGAGAGUGAGAGCUUGUCUCGAAACCACAAAGGAAAAAAGAAAAUUAAAGGUGACGGACCCUAACUGUAAGAGCCAUACCAUAUAAAAGGGCUGUUACUCCGCUGCUGUGCCAGAGACUCUUAACUAUGUGGAAGUACAGAUAACCACAGUGACCAUCGUUCCCAUGCAUUUGUCCCUUACCACUUGGAACAGGCAGAUCACUCCCCUGCCUGAGAGGAUCUGUUUUGAAUGAUCUGGGUGUUCUGGCUCUGCCUUGCAGGCAUUGCUGUGGACCUCAUUGUCCGUGAAGGCUGACUGAUUUCCCACCCUCCUCCUCUGCUGUGUUACGGGAAGGCCAUCGCCUGUCAGGCUGGUGCACUUCUUCAGGCCCACCUUGAAUUCACUUUGUAGCCAAGGCUGACCUCAAACUCACAGCAGUCCUCCUGCCUCAGCCUCCCAAAUGCUGGGAUUACAGGCAUAAGGCUGGUGCACUUUUAACUCCGUUUCCUGGUGUGCUUGUGAACCCUACUUAGCUGGCUCAGCAUCAUGUAAGAAGCAACAGCUGGAGAUACUGGGAGCUGGAAGGUUUUCUUUUUUUUCUCCAGUGAACCCAGGGUCUUCACAUUGAGCUACAUCUCCAGUUCUUUUACUCUUUUUCAUUUUUAAUCUUUAUUAUGAAACAAGAUCUUGCUAAAUUGCCUUGAAUUUGUAAUCCUCUUGACUCAGCCCCCAAGUAGCUAGGAUUCCAGGAGCACACCGCCACACCCUGGCCCACUUGCCCAAUACAGUGCUUUAAAAAUGUAACAAAAGACCAGAGACUCAGGGUGCAGAUGUGUAUACCUGUAAUUCCAGCAUUCUUGAGGCACAAGCCAGGAAGUGUAUGAGUUCAGAGCUAGGCUGGGCAAUGUACUGAGACCCUGUUUCAAAACAUACACACACACACACACACACACACACAGAUUCACAGACCUAUGAGUUGCUAAAGGAGAAACAGUCUAAGCGUUUUGAUCUAAUGUGUGUUAUACUCUUAAGCAUGAACUGGGCUUUCAUCAAAUUCUUCAUUAAAUAAAAGUUGCAGUUCACUGUGUUAGACGGAGACCCUGCCAUCAGCCCCCACAGCUCAGCCUGAGAACUGAUGUCAUGCUGCCGUUCCACCAGAAGAGCCGAAAUCCUCCGACCUUCCUGGAAAUCAGGAGGAACACUGGUCAGAUUUCCCAAUCAAGCCCGAGGGAGUCACCAUGCUAAUGAUGGUGCCUGUGCUUCAGUCCUUACAAAGCAAACGCAAUCAGCUGCUUUUCUGUUUUUCUGUGUACCCUAGCCUGGCGUGUUGUUGUAAGGAAGGUCUUUUUGAAAUGAUCAAACUGCUUUUGUUCUUUGUUUCUCUUUUCUCCAUCCCUUUUCUAUCUGUAAAACCAAUCUCCUCGGGCAGGGGAUGUAGCUCAUGGUGGAUGCUUCUCUAACAUAGGGAAAGUCCUGGAUCUGAUUCCCGAGGCUACAAAAAAGAAAAACUCUGCUUAGCCUAUGGGAACACUUAUUCUGGUUGUUUUGUUUUGUUUUGUUUAGACGAAUAGCUGUGUUGCUGGCCUUAAACUAUGUAGUCCAGCUGGCCUUGAAUUCAGUGAUCCUACCUCUGCCUCCCAACAAGUGGGAUUACAGCUGUGUGGCACCACACCCGGUUUUUAACCCCUUUUAGAUGGUCAGUGGUUAGGUUUUGAAGAAUGUGCUUCCUGACUUUUGUAUGAAAGAAACAACCACAAUAGGAUGUGUAUUAGAACUAUCCCCACCCAGGCAUGGUGAUACACACAUGUAAACCCAGAGCUCAGGAGGCUGAGGCAGGAGGAUAACCUUGGGUCUGAGGCCCACCUGGAUUACAUACUGAGUUACAUAGCCUGAAUUACAAAGUGAGACCUUGUCUCAAACAAAACAAAAAUACAAAAAACAACUGGCCCCAAAACCAUGCUGUUUUCUCCAGUCUCUGCCUCUCAAUAUGUUGCAUGGUCAUUUUCCAGGCUUAAGCCAAAACAGGAAGUGAGUGUCCUUGAUCCACUGUGCACACACACACACACACACACACUUAGGGCUGGGGGCUGAACCCAACAGCUCGGCUCUGAGCCACAUUUUUCGUAUCUUUUAUUUUGAGACAAGGUGUCCCAGACCGGGCUCAAAAUUUCAGUCCUCCUGCAUCAGCCUUCCCGCAGUGCUGAGAUUACAGGAGUAAACCUGUUCCUCUCUUCUUAUAAGGGCAACGUCAGGUAACUCUCUGCGUCCUUGUCCUUGGAGGACCCUUCUCCAAAUACUGAGCCAUAUAGAGGUUAGUGAGGCAGAAGACUGCGUGUGGCCAGCAGGCUGGGCAAUGAGCUGGACUCAAGCGCAAAACAGUGGCUUCCAAGCUCUGCACUUGAAGCUAAUCAGAAAAUGCUGUCUUCAUUCCUCUGGUGUGGCAUCAAGCAGGUUUUUGAUAGGACAGAGAGAAACAGUGCCAUUACAAUCUUUGCUUCUGUAGCCAAUCAUAAGUCUUAGCUGGUGUUUAGAACUACCUUCCUCUGUUACUCACUCUGUGUUCCCUUGGCCCUCAGCGAGCACCUCAGCAGGUCUUGGUUCUUUCCCUGAUGGAAUGACCCACACCUUCAUUCCUGAAGGCUCUGGGCCAUUUGUCAUUCUGCCUGGAUUAAAUUGUUGUAGGUUCCCAUUGAUUUUAGUAGCAAGGCACAGUAGCCGUACGUGUGGCACAUGCCUAUAAUCCCAACACUGAGGAGGCUGAGGCAGGAGGAUCACUGCCAGUUCAAGGCCAAAACCUGUGCUACAAACUACAUAGUGAGUUCAAGGCCAGCCUGCACUACAUACUGAGACCCUGUUUUAAAGAAAAAAGGAGGGGCUGGGGAUUUAGCUCAGCGGCAUAAGCACCUGCCUUGCAAGCAGGCAGUCGUGAGUUCGAUCCCUGGUACCGAUAAAAAGGAAAAAGAAAAAAAAAAAAAGAAAAAGAAAAAAGGAGUGGGGGGCAACCAACUUGGGACCCUCCUGUCUCUCAGGGGCUGUUUUUGUUCCCAUUGUUUUCUCCAGUAAAUUUUCAUACUUUUAACCUCCAUUGUUCUUUAGAACUCAGUCUCUGACACGGGGAACAAGAACUUGAUGUAUUUGACAUCUAGCAUUUCCUCUUAGCACUCAGAGGCUGGGAAGGUGCCUGAUAAAGACCCGUAUUGCCCAUGUUCCUUUUUGGAAUGAGUAACCUGAUUGCGUUAAAUCCAUCAAUCACUUUCCUAGUUAUGUACUACAAACAUGUUUACCAACAAAAAUUUAAAAAAAAAAAAAAAAGGGUUUUGGUACUGGGGCUCGAACUCAGGCCCUUGCUCUUGGUAGACAGGCAUUUGUGCUGCUGAGCUAUAUCCCCAGCCCCAAAAAGCUUUAAAAGAUUAAAACAAAUAAGAAAACCAGGGCACUGUAAUGCUAGGAGCGCCCUACGUAGUCCCCUGCACCCAUGCUCUUCCUGUCCUCCGUUCUGGAGUGAUGGUCCGAUUUCCCCUUGAUAUCUCAGUCAAUUACUGCUGACAACACUGCGACUUCCUUUUUUAGCCUGUUUCUUCAGAGGCAUUGGGAAACCAAAAUGACCAGGGGGAAGUCGUAGCUUCCACUGCAAUGACAUCCUUUUGCUUCCGGUACAAGCCUUCCCCUCUCUGAACUAAGACUUCUCACCCAGAAGAAAAUAAGGUCAGAAGAACAGGAAGUGAGAAUCUGCUAGUGAACCCCUAGGGGUAAAGUUGAGUGGUACCGUUCCUGCUUCCACCCCUUGAUUCCUGGACCCGCGCAUCCUGGCUAGAGGAGACACAGUACCAUAGAGUGGAGGCUGAGUUGAAGAACAUUGGCCCAGCCCUACAAGCUCUUGCCACCUAGCUAGUGCUGGAACUGUCUACAAAAGACCAGUCUCCUUCCUAUUCAACCAGCCGCUUCUGCAUGGUAAGGGACUUGGUCAUACCAGUGAUUUCUGUGAGCAUGAGGCCAUCACUUCACCUCUUUGACCGUAAUAUGUGUUCCUUGCUCAGAGGCUGGAGUGGAUUAACUAAUGUUCAUCUUGUAACAUGCAGCUGAACUGAGCUGUGGAUCUUGCCCACAGCAUAAAAGGAGAACAAGAGGGGAAGAUGGUGCAUUGUUGAUUGUCCUGGAGAAGUUUGUCACACUGGCUUUCCUGACAUGAACUCGGCUGUUCUCAUCAUCAUAGGAGCUUGGGUCCUCACUGUCGCUGAGGAUGGCUGUGGUUCUUUUCAGGGGAGCUCUGGUCCUGAUUGCAUCACUUCCUGGCUCCAGGGCAGACUCUCAGCCUGCUGGCAUAGACCUUCUAGGUUCUACUACUGACCUUUGGGCCUUUCUGGUGCAGAUCCUUGAUACAGAUUUGUAUGAGACAUUGUCAUGGAACUCUAGGCCUCCAGCUAGACUCAUGGCGAGCAUUGCCAUGGUCUCUAGGUCUUUAGCUGGUCUUGUGCAGAACAUUCCUGUGGGCUCUAGGCCACAGCUGGAUUCUGUAGGGUGUGGACAGAUCUCUGCACCCUCUUGCAUUUGACUCUUUGAGUGAAUAUUAUAAAAUGAUCCUAUCAAUUAUGUGUCCCAUGUUAUACCUUUUCCCAUGCACACCUUGACUACAGCAGAGGCAAUGCUGUGUGGCAUUGCUUGACAGUGGAUAAGGCAUUCUGGACUGUAAUGCUGCAGCUCCCCUCACAGGUGAUGCCUGCAUAAUGUGCAGAACCAUCCGAAAACUAGGCCCUAACCUUCCCUUCUUCUGACAGCUGAUCAUGUGGUACACCCCACAGAUGCAUGCUGGGAAGCAGAAGACAAUAUGGUAGGAGCAGAAGCCCUGGGCACCUGGGCAACUUCUUCAUGUAAUUAUACCCUCUGGACCUGCCCUGGCCCAAUCACAUGUGUACCAUUUCCAUUUAGUGUUAGACUGUUGCUGUGGGCAUCCAGCCUUAUGACUCAGUGGAUCAGAUAAUACCCAUGGUGAGGGUGACCUGGUGUCCCGUUGUCAAGCAUUCAGUUUCUUCUAAGGCCCAGUAACAAAUCAAGAGCUGUGUUUCAAAGAGAGAGCAGUCAUCUGCAGAUGAUAGGAGAACCUUGCUCCAAAAUCCUAAAGGCCUCUGCUGCGAUUCACCUCUGCUGGAGACUCUAAACAGCAUCUCUGCCUGCCCCUGAUGCUUCAAAUACCACUGGAUCUGCUGGGUCAUAAGGUCCCAGUGGGAGAGCAGCCCACACAACAGCCUGGACCUGUUGCAGAGCCUUGUCCUGGGCCCCACUUAAAAAAAAGACACGAGUGAGGAAUGUGUUGCCUCCAAACUCCAAAUAGGCCCACUAUGCAUUGUGCCUGUUUUUUUGGUUGUAGGGAGAGCCACGUCCUUAGAGGAGACAUCUCUGCAUGCCCCACUCCCAGUACCAAAAUCAGUAUCAGCCAGUGUUCACUAGAGAAACAGACAACACAAGACACAUGGAUAUAUAAGAAUUCAGAAGAUUGGCUUGCGGUGGUCGCCCACGAAGUUCGAUGAGGGAUAGCGCAGAGGGUGUCUGCACGCUGGAGACAGAAGGACCGAGUCAAGGGUCUGGAGCUCACUGCUGUGUCCUGUGUGUGUCAGUGUCGGGAGGCUGAUGGGUCUGCCACGGAAGCCAAAGAGUCUGCGCUGGAAGCCAGGAGAUGACAUUCAUGGUGAAGUCGAAGACUGGGGCUCCACUGAAGAAACAGAAGCAAAUUCAUCUUCUAAUUUUCCCUGUACACCGUCUGGGCACUGGGCCGCCCUAGGGUGGGUCUUCUGCACCCUAGGAUGUGGAAGUGCUGAGCAGGUUUAGCUGAGCUCCUCCCACUCACGUUGACACAGUCCACCACCACUGAUCUUCUCAUGUUGUUAACACUUGGAAGAUUAACCCCUUGAUUGUAUUUAUUGGUUGCUGUGUAACAAUUUCUCAUAAAUGUACACCUCAUUACAGUAAACAACAGUUUCGAUGGGAUGCUGUGUGAGGAAUCCAAGCAGUGGUCUUCAGGGGCUCACAUAGGCUGUAUCGCUGGUGUCAGAAGUGAAAGGUCAGCUGUAGAAGGCUCCAUCUCACACUGGUACUUGUUGUUCUAGGGAUCAAACUCACAGCCUUGCAUAUGUUAGCCAAGCACCGAGCUACACCCAGCCCCUCUUCUCAGUCUUUAAAUGUCAUCUUUAGCUCACCAGGCACCACAAUGGACACCUGUAGUCUCAGGUGACCUGAAGGCUGAGGUGGGAAGAUCACUUGAGCCCGCAAGUUUGAGACCAACGUUUGAGACCAUGGCAAGACCUCAUAUUUAAAAAAAUAAAACUAAGUAAAGUACAGUGUAAGACAGAGAUCAGGAUGAGUUGUGGGGUGGUAGAUAUUGAACUCAGGAACUUGCACACAUGUGAAUCUCCAACUGACCUGCAUCAUAUAUUGAAAAGACCUAUUAUAAAUCAGUUUCAAAUACUUAGUUUCCUGUGGUUUCUGCCUUUUUAGGCUUAUUCUGCAGUUCAAGCUGGCCGCGAACUUGCAGCAAUCCUUGUACCUCAGCCUCCUGAAUGCUGGGAUAUCAGGUGUGUGCCACCAUGCCCAGCUUUCUCCCCAUUUUCUAAACUUGAUUCACCAGACUUCUUCAUGAUUGCAUCAGCUACUCAAGAGUUUCAGUAAACUCUUAACCAAAAUGUUCUCGGUUGUUUCCUGUUACUUGCAGCUCAGAACCUGACACACAGAGACAUUUGGCCAUAUUUGCAUGGGACACAGACUUCUUGCACUUACCUGUCCAUGAGUAUGUAUGUUGAAGAGCAGCAAGGCACAGUCGUCUGUGCUCUUUUCUAUCCUGACUUGAUUAGAGAGCUCACCUAGUCUCUAGUGUAUAAACACCAACUCUAAAUGGGUGAUUCCCCUAUGUCUUAAGUCACUUUCUUCUCUGUGAGACAAAAUACUAAACACCCACAACUUAAAGGUUUGUUUUGACUCACAGGUCCAGUGGGCUCAGUCCAUGGUUAGCUGGUUUGGGGCAGAAAAGUUAUAGUGGAAGGGCCCAGCGGCAAAAGAAAGCUGCUCCCGUCAUGGUGGCCAGCAGAGAGAGAGAGAAGGGAGGAUCCAGGGACAAGAAUACCCUUUUAAGUCAUGCCCACAGUGAUCUGCCCCCUCUAACCAGGCCCUGCCUCCAAAUAUAAAAAUUGGGGAUAGGAGACAUUUGACUUUUAAUUAAUUAAUGUUUUCUUUUACUCUUUGAGACAGAGUCUCAUUAUAUAGUCCAGGCUGACCUUGAACUCAUGGCAAUCCUCCUACCUCAGCCUCUUGACUCCCUGGGAUUACAGGUGUGCACCACCAUGCCUGGCUAUUUUAUUUAUUUAAAUUUUUUUUAGUUUCUUUGAGAUAGGGUAUCAUUGUGUAGGUCAGGCCAGUCUGGAACUCACUAUGUAAACCAGGCUGGCCUUGAAUUCCCAGUGACCCUCCUGCUACAGCCUCCCAAGUGCUGGGAUUCCAGGCUCUGUUAUUCAGUGUAUUUGCCAGGAUCAUGAACUCAUCUCUGUUACACAGUCAACAAAUCUGGUCCUUGGUUUUCAUCUCAGUGAAGGGCAUUUCUUCAUCUAGCAGCUUGGGUCACAAACUUCACAGCAACUUGUUCCUCUCCUUUUCUGGACCACAACAGCUAACCUAUUAGCAAGUUCUUAACUCUUUCCCCAUCAAAUCCAAUGUGAAUCUUACCACUUCUCAUCACCUCUCCCCGGCUUCUUUAGGGACAGAUGGCAUCAAUGUCCAGGGGCUACUAUUGUAGCUUCCACUCUGCCCUGUGAUUGGAACUGUAGCUGGAACGGCUUUCUAAACCAAAUCACGCAUUUUUACUGCUAGAGACGUGUUCUUCCCUAUGAAUAAAGCAUCAGAUCCAGUUCCUCUCCCAUGGUCCAUAAGGUCAUAUGUGACCCACCCUCUACUUUUUAUCCUUGUUCUGUCUCUCUCUUUGUUGCUUUCCUUUAUGAUACUGGGGAGAUUGAGCUUAGUACCUUUACAUUCAAUUGCAUUUUUAGUCAAUUUUUUAAAUUUUGAGAUGGGCCUUUCUAAGUCAUUAAAUCAUCCAUGCUGGGUUCACGCCUAUAAUUCCAGGAUUUGGAGGCUGAGGCAGGAGGAUCACUGAGAUUUCAAGGUCUGCCCAGGUUACAUAGUGAGUUCAAGGCCAGUCUGAACUACAUGGCAAGAUUCUGCCUCAAAAAAACAAAAGAUCAGCCUGAACUACAAAGUGAGAUCUUGUCUCAAAAAAAAAAAAAAAAAAAAAAAAAGGAGUUGUGAGAGCUCUGGAAUUACCAACUGGGUAAUCAGAAGAGGCAAUGCCACCAACCUUCUGCCACCUACAUCAUCUGUCUACCACGGUUUCUAACAGUCUUCCAGGCUACAACACAGGGCAAAAAUGACUUUUCACAUUAGCAGCUCGUGUUACCUGGGUGUAGACACUACACAAUGGCAAAAAUUUUACUAUAGAGACUUCAGGAGAACAUGGCGGAUAGAUAACAGCAGCUAUGGAGGCUCUCUGAGAUAGCCAGCUUAGAAUCCAGGAAUGGUGCGGUGUGAGGAGUCCUAAGCAAGGGGAGAUACACCCUGCCGACCCAGGAACGAACUAAGCUGAGAGAAACCAACCGGAAAUGCAGUCCCGGUGCUAUAACUGGAACAGAUAAAAUCUCAGUGCUGAAGCUGAAACCCGCACCUCUGGAAACCACAAUUUGAAUUUCCUGCCACCACUGCUGCGUCUGAAUCCACAUAACAGGAAUAGAAACGCAAAAGCUCUGAGAGUGGGAAUCGGCAAAUGGAGUUGAAAGUGGGACUGGCGGGGAGCCCUGCAUCAACCUGUGGUGAGUGAGAGGAACAGGAACCCUUCCUAGACUAGCAGGCUCCAACAGAGGACAUUCUGGGACCGGACAGACUAGCGGGAACAGGAUGCUGCAAUGACUUUAGUUGCAUAUUCCCCUCUCAAGUGGGAUUGGUGGGGAGCACUUGGCCUGGGUGACGCUGUGGACUAAUACCCAGUAGGCUAGCCCAAACCAGGUCCCAAUGCCUGGCAGUGCACCCUGGCAGUGAAGCCUUCAGUAGGUUGACCUGGAGGGGCGGGCCCAGCAGAGGCCUCCCAGGUCUGUGACUCCCUAGUACAAUGCAGUGGGCGGGAACACCUAGCCAGCGCGAUUCAAACAAACUGUAACCGGCAAAGAAAGAAACUGGGCCUCCUAUAUACGCCUUUAUGGAAAGAACAAAAAAUAUGACAAGAGGAGGUAACAAGAAAGGGUCCUCAGCCCCCAAUUCUGAGAACACUGAUCCAGGAAAGGUAAAUGCAAAGGAGAAUGAGGACAGAAAACAUGCAAUAUCAGGCACAACACCAAUAGACAUAAAUCUGUAUCUCCGGAGCCUCAUAGACAAGUUCAAAAGUGAAGUAUUUAAUGAAGUAAAGCAAGAUAUAAGUAGAAUAGUUAGAGAAAUGCUAAGCACCACCCAAGAAAAAACAGAUGGUGGAAUGGAAGAACAGAAAAAAAGGGGAGAAUUGUUUGAUGGAGAAAAUAGAGAAAACAGAAUACAUGAAGCAGGCUCAAAGAGAUUACCAAGAAACUAAAAACUAUUGAAAGCUGGCAUAACAGCUUGAAAGAAACUAAGGAUAGAUUAUCUGGACUGGAGGACAGAUUUGUAAGGUGGGAGCAUGGAAUGAAAAACGUCUUUAAAAUAAUAAGGAAACAAACAGCAAUAAUACAAAGACUAGAAGAUGAUAAGAGGAUCUAUAACUUAAGAAUUAAGAACAUAAAAAAAGAAGUAGGGACACAAACAAAUGAACUACAAAGGCUAUUCACAGAAAUAAUCCAGGAGAAUUUCCCUAAUUUAGCAAAAGGUAAAGAUACUCAGAUGUAUGAGGCAUACAGGACUCCAGCCACCUACAACCCAAACAUAGCUACACUCAGGCAGAUAAUCAAAAUUCCAGAAAUCCAAUAUAAGAACAGAAUAUUAAAAGCCAUCAGAGACAAGAAACAGAUCACUUACAAAGGAACACCCAUCAGAAUUAUAGCAGACUUCUUGGCACAAACCAUCAAAUCACAGAGAGCGUGGGGGGAAAUAAUUCAAGCUUUGAAAGAUAAUAACUUCCAGCCAAGAUUGAUAUAUCCUGCACAAACUGUCCCUAGAAAUUGAUGGAAAAACAAGGUGCUUCCAGGAUAAAGAGGAACUAGGGGAAUUUGCAACCACCAAUUCAACUCUACAGAGAUUACUGCAGGAUAUUCUAAAAAAGAAAAAUACCAAGAUUCCAGAAAUAGUGGCAGAGAGGCCACAAUGAAUGGAGCAGAAAGCAAAAUGAAGAAGACAAACUGACAACUAAUGACAGAAAAAGAGCUCAACAGAAAUGAGGCAGAGAAGGUUGGACGGUAAGAACAGCUAUUUUGGAGAAAGCAAGACAUCAUAAUAGCUAGUGCUGAUUUAAUAUCAUCUUGUUUUGAAGUCCCGUCAAGCUUUUGUUCUUCUGUCUCCGUCAGUCUUAACAUGUUGUACCUUAUUGGAUUUUAUUAUAUGUGAUAAUAUAAACAAAAACUUUUAUAGACAAGGAGAUUAUACAGAAACCAUUGUUCAUUUUCUGUUAGUUGAUUCUAAAUACCCUGUAAUACUGUCAUUCUCUUGAAUGGUUUUACGUUGUCUUGAUAUGUUUGAUGCUACAGUACAUGAACUUAUACUCAAAGAUUUCUAGAAAAGAGACACUAUGAUAACUACUUUUAUGUUGGGAUAUCUUGUGGUGAAACACUAUUUUGCUUAAAUGGUUAUGUUUGGACCUGUGCUGUUUUGUUGUUAUGUUCUCUUUUAUCUCAAUCUCCUUUUUUUAUUAUUUACUUUUUUAUUUUUAUCUUUUUAAUUAAGGAAAAAAUAAAAAAUAUCAGGAUAUAUUAUAGUAACCCACUUUGAUUUCCUAUUAACUUGAUUUGAAACCCUGUAUUGCUCUCACCAUCUUGUUUUGACUGAAUUUCCUCUAUUCUGUUUUGCUUGAUAGUACCAAGUUUCAGAGUAUAGGCAACUGUGAAGACAAUAAGAUUCAUUAUGAUGCCCAUUCUGGUUUGACUAUUAUCUUCUUUUGAAGUUCUGUAAUGUCUCCAAUGUUUUGGUUUUAUUGGUUUUAUUCUUUACUGUUUGGUUCAAUUUUAUUAUAACUGAUGAUAUAGGCAAUUCUUUUUAAGAUAGCAAAAGGCAUUAUGGUAACCAUUGUUGAUCACCUUGUAUUUUGUUUUUACAGUAUGUAUUAUGUCCAUCCUUUUGAUUUGACUGUUUUGUUAUGUCACAUUUGCUUUUAUUCUCUUCAAAAAAAGUAAUAAAAACUGUGGAAGUAAUAAAACCCAAAAUGUGUAAUGUCAUUGUAUAAAAGAGAGGAAAAGAAAGUGCUCUAAACGAUGUAACUGCAUGUAUAUUUAAGUGUAUACGAUAGAUAACCAUAUUACUGAGUUUUUUGGAUCAUUGAACUGUUUGCAGUCUCACUGUUUGAAAGUCCCCUCUAUAUGCUUUAAUUUUGUAACUUGCACAACUAUUUCUAAGAUGACAAUAUGUAAUCUAUUAAUCCUACUGCUUAUUUUUUCUGUAAUUCUGUAAACUUGUACCCUUUUUCUGUUUUUUUUUUCCCUUUUUCUCCUUAAAUAAAAAAUUUUUUAAAUUUACUACAGAAACCCAUCAAAAUAGGGUUAAAGGCCGGCAUUUAGCUCAGCAGCACAAGCACCUGCUUUGCAAGCACGAGGUCAUGAGUUUGAUCCCUGGUACCAAAACAAAACAGAAACAAACAAACAAAAUAGUGUUAAAGAUUUAAAAGAAAAAAUGUAAUUUCUAAUUAUUUGGGAGGUGCUGAGAGUUGAACUUAGGGACUCACACUAGCUGGGCAGGUGUGUUGCCACAGAGCUACACCCCAGACCCAUCUGCUGAACUCUCACUUAUAGAAGCCUAGUAAAAUUAACCAUGUUUGCUAAACUUUUGUCCGCAUUCAGACCCAAAAUAAUGUAGAGCAGCUGGCCUCUGUGGCACGGGCCUGGAAUCUCAGAACCUUGGAAGGCGGAGCCAAGAGCAGCUAAGCUCCAGGCCAGCCUAAGACAUUUAGCUAGACUUUGUCUCAGAAUGAACUAGAAAGGCCUGGGAUCCAGGCAUCCUGGUGUACCGGUCUGUAUCCCAGCACUCUGAGAGGUUUGCCGAGUUUGAGCUGAGUAUGGACAGUGUUUAGAGAGAUCUUGCGUCAAAGAAAAAAAGCGAGUACUUGUUUAAAAAAAUUAAAACGGUUGGGAAACACAGAUCAGUGAGAGGAACAGGGUUUAAUCCCAAUCCAAAAAAAAGCACAGUUGAAAAUAAUGAGUACAGUUAAGUGGGUAAAAGUGAUGUGCCAGGACGUUCAGAGAUGUAGUAAAGUACACAAGACUGUCCCUGUUGCUCCUCGUCUUACCCUCUGGGCCCCACCCCAUGGCUGUGACCACGCCCUUCCAGCCCCGCCCACAGCGAAGGUCCCCGCCCACUGCCCCCCUUCACCCCACCACCAGGGCCCACUACGAGGAGAUCUGACAUCCAGCGCUCAGCCCCUCGGGGACACAGAAGAGCCUUCCUUCCCAGGCCUGGCGGGCUGGAUACGCUGCCUGCCCGAGCAGCUGGUAGACAGGCACAUGCAGCAGGGCUUCCGCUUCAGGCUGCUGUGCAUCGGGGAGACGGGCCUGAGCAAGUCCACGCUGUUGGCCCUGCUCUUCAACGGCCCACCCGACAGCGCCCGCGUCUCGCACUUCUGCCCCGCUGACGAUGUCACAGGAAGAAGUGGGAGCUGAAGCAGGCGUUCGCCAGGCGGGUGAAGGAGGAGGAGGCUGUGCUGAAGCAGGCCAAGGGGCAGCUGCAGGCCAGCUUCGAGCACCUGGAGCGCUUGCAGCACAAGGAGACCCUGAGACUGGAGGAGAGGAGGCGAGCCUUGGAGGAGGAAAUGCUGGCGUUCUCCAGGAGGAAGGCCAUCUCGGAGCUGUCCCGAGGCCGGAUGUUGGGUACCAGCAAGAAAAAUGUCAAGGACCCUGCGGAGGAGCCAAGCUAUCGAUUCGAAAUUCUGUGCUUUGACAUCUAUGCUUGUAAAAUGUGCCAUGGGCACAAAGAGGUGGAGGAACUGGAGGAGGUGGACAGUUGGAGGAAGCAGCCUUGAGUAGCAAUGGGAAGAAAAUCCACAGCACAUGGUUGUGGGAACAGAACCUAGAAGCUCCAGAGAGCGCCUGGGCUCCACAAACAAGUGUAAUAUUCUAAGUUUGCUUUGAUUUAACAGAAGUAAAAUGGUAUAAAUAUGC
This is a long non-coding RNA of Cavia porcellus (domestic guinea pig), 17525 nucleotides long. RefSeq lists it as uncharacterized. The record is from RefSeq and is a predicted model, not a curated record. Lineage: Eukaryota; Metazoa; Chordata; Mammalia; Rodentia; Caviidae. The transcript is spliced from 2 exons.